Molecule: unclassified non-coding RNA, 279 nt
Filed under: plant metagenome
Description: partial contains small subunit ribosomal RNA, internal transcribed spacer 1, and 5.8S ribosomal RNA
Source: RNAcentral
UUUCCGUAGGUGAACCUGCGGAAGGAUCAUUAUCGAUUCAAACCAAAUGAGAGGGAAGUUGUCAUAGUAGUGCUGGCCUCUGUCAUGGAGGUAUUGUGCACGCUCGACUUCUUCCUUUCUUCAUUUACACACCUGUGAACUUGUUGUAGGGUUGUCUCGCAAGAGACGCUCUAUGUCUUUCUCAUAUACUCCAUAAUGUUUAUAGAAUGUACCUUUUUGCUCUCGUCAGAGACAAAAAUAAAGCCUUUAUAACUUUCAGCAACGGAUCUCUUGGCUCUC